GAUGAACGCUGGCGGCGUGCCUAAUACAUGCAAGUCGAGCGAAGCGGGGACGGGUGAUUAACACGUGGAUAACCUCCUAUAAGACUGGGAUAACUUCGGGAAACCGGAGCUAAACCGGAUACUUAGAGAUGGAUCCUCGUUACAUUAGCUAGUUGGUAAGGUAACGGCUUACCAAGGCAACGAUGCAUAGCAGACCUGAGAGGGGGAUCGGCCACACUGGAACUGAGACACGGUCCAGACUCCUACGGGAGGCAGCAGUAGGGAAUCUUGCGCAAUGGGCGAAAGCCUGACGGAGCAAUGCCGCGUGAGUGAUGAAGGUCUUCGGAUCGUAAAGCUCUGUUAGUAGGGACGCGUUACCGACUCAGAAAGCCCCGGCUAACUCCGUGCCAGCAGCCGCGGUAAUUC
RNAcentral lists this ribosomal RNA (405 nucleotides) under uncultured bacterium. RNAcentral describes it as "partial 16S ribosomal RNA". It matches the Rfam family "Bacterial small subunit ribosomal RNA", at positions 28 to 526 of the family's 1533-position model. The record is from RNAcentral.